UCCGUAGGUGAACCUGCGGAAGGAUCAUUACACUCAGUAGUUUACUACUGCAAAGGAGGCUGUCAGUCUGUAUAGCUUAAUCGCUGAUGAGCAGCUGGUCUCUUUUCUCUACCCUUGUCUUUUGCGUACCUAUGUUUCCUCGGCAGGCUUGCCUGCCGGCUGGACAAUUCUAUAACCUUUUUAAUUUUUAAUCAGCGUCUGAAAAAACUUAAUAAUUACAACUUUCAACAACGGAUCUCUUGGUUCUGGCAUCGAUGAAGAACGCAGCGAAAUGCGAUAAGUAGUGUGAAUUGCAGAAUUCAGUGAAUCAUCGAAUCUUUGAACGCACAUUGCGCCCCUUGGUAUUCCAUGGGGCAUGCCUGUUCGAGCGUCAUUUGUACCUUCAAGCUUUGCUUGGUGUUGGGUGUUUGUCCUCUCCUUGGUGUUUGGACUCGCCUUAAAACAAUUGGCAGCCAGUGUUUUGGUAUUGAAGCGCAGCACAAGUCGCGAUUCUGACCUAGUAACACUUGCAUCCACAAGUCUUUUUAACUUUUGACCUCGGAUCAGGUAGGGAUACCCGCUGAACUUAAGCAUAUCAAUAAGCGGAGGA
This 589-nucleotide ribosomal RNA is filed under the name Pleosporales sp. 18 KB-2015. Its description in RNAcentral is "eukaryotic LSU rRNA". The stretch from base 220 to 373 matches the Rfam family "5.8S ribosomal RNA". The record is from RNAcentral. Lineage: Eukaryota; Fungi; Ascomycota; Dothideomycetes; Pleosporales.